Long non-coding RNA from Prinia subflava (tawny-flanked prinia), 1856 nucleotides. RefSeq lists it as uncharacterized. The record is from RefSeq and is a predicted model, not a curated record. NCBI's taxonomy places the organism in Eukaryota, Metazoa, Chordata, Aves, Passeriformes, Cisticolidae. The transcript is spliced from 3 exons.
UCAGCAGAGGAGCAUCCUCCUCUCCUCUGCCCAGGCUGGGCGGGGGAGGGGAACCAGGUAGGCCUGGCUGAGGUAGGCCCCAGGCCCCAGGGGGUGAGAAAAGAGAGAACGGAACUGGAUCUGAGCCAGCCCCAUCCAGGAUGGAGGGGUGGAGAACUUUGGAGGCAGAGGAGAACUGCUCUCAGACAUUGAUUCUCAUGGCUGGUGGUUUCAGAAGAGAGGACAGCCUGGGACCAAGAUGAUAAAGGAAGAUGAAAAGAACCCCUCCUGAUUGCUAGCAGGUUCAAGCAGUCACAUCACCCAUCAUCUUCAAGGAGUGAAAAGGGACACAUUGCAUAGCCUUUGUGGCUAGAUCAACAACAGAAGAGUGACUGCAAAAGAGAUGACUACGAGUCUGAAAAUUAUAGAGACAAUUUAAUAAUAGAAGUCCUGUAUCUCUAUGUCUUCGGUUAAUGGACCUUUCCCUGAGUUUUAUUUAUUUGGACUCUAAAGCAAAAAUUACUAAUUUUCCUAAAAAGAUGUAAUUGUACCUCAUGUAAUAUCUCAGAUGCCUUUGGUGUAUUUUGUAGUUACCAAGGCCUGUGGUGUUACUUUGUGGUGAUUUGGGUCAUGCAGGUUUUGAGAAUCUGGUUCAUCACCAAUUCAGAUGUACAUCCUACAGGUAUCAUUGGCCAAUUGAGUGAAUAAUGGUCUGAUCCUGCAUAUCCUGCAAUGGGUCUCUCUAAAACAUACAAGCUACAAACCCGUGCAGCUGCUAUCUGAACUGCAAUGGUAAAAAAGUGUAAGUGCAAAUACACAGAUUUCCAAAAGCUCUGAAAGUGCUUUGGAGAUUCACGGUAGCUUGCAGCCUUUAUCAGAGUGGACUUUUGCUCCUUGGGAAGUAGAUCAUCUCAUCAACCUUCUCAUCCAUAGCAUGGUCAUGGGCUGUCAUUUCGGCCCUGACACACAUCCUCACAUGCCUUUGCUUCAAAACAAAAAAAACCCAAAAAAACCUCCCAAAGAUCCAAAAAAACCCAAAAGCCACAAAACCCCCCCCAGCACUCAUGCUGUUUUAAUUGCUCAAUUGAUGACCAAAUGCCGUUAACAGUGUUUGCAAUUAAUGGCAGGUGAUCCUGCAAAAAUUGGUCUUCCAGUAUAGCAGGAAGACUUUUAAUGGAGCUUUGUUAACAGCAAAAAGCACUCCUUUGUAAAAUGUGCUGCCAAUUUUCAGGGCAGAUUGCUUACUACCUGCACAGUUAUAAAUUAUUGAAAUCUAUAAAAUCAAUCAAUUUGUCAUUGCAGCUGAAAAUAGCUGGGUGCCAGUGCAAGGACCACCAUCUUUUAUUGACAGCUCAUAAAAGGAAAAGCCAUUGUUACCUGGAAGGAUGAAUCUGACUGGCAAAUGCUAGAAGGUCACUAACCAGGCUCAGCCCAGUUGGCUGAAUUGAGAGCUGUUGCCAUGGCAUUCCAGCAAUUUCUUCAAGUACCCCUGAAUCUUGUUGCCAUGAGGUUUUUUCCUGGUUUGCCAAGCAUUCAUAUUAAAGGAGAAAUGUGCAGUCUCUCACGGUCAUGAAUGUAAACACAGGACCAUGUUUUGUAAACACUGCCCUUGUUAUGAAUUCCUUCUCAAGGAGAAGGAGAGGUUGAAUGCCAGCCAAUGGGACCAAUGUGGUGGGGAGGUGGGAAUUCCAUCCUCCAAUCCACAGGCCUCAUAGGAAAUGUAUAAAAGUGGGGUUUUGUAAAUAAACUUGGUCUUCCUGCCCUGCAUGCUCGAUGAACCCAGAUCUGUCCCCGAGUCUCAUUUCUGGUUAGGCCCCGCGGUGAUAGAAUCUGGUCAUUGAAUCUGCUUAUUUGGCAGAUAUAACCAAAUGUUCAGA